Molecule: transfer RNA, 82 nt
Filed under: Caudoviricetes sp.
Lineage: Duplodnaviria; Heunggongvirae; Uroviricota; Caudoviricetes
Description: tRNA-Leu
Source: RNAcentral
GCGAGAGUGCUGGAAUAGGCAGACAGAGCAGUCCCAAAAACUGCUGCAGGAAUGCGUGUGGGUUCGAAGCCCAUCUCUCGUA